CACGUAGGGUGCGAGCGUUGUCCGGAAUUAUUGGGCGUAAAGAGCUCGUAGGCGGUGUGUCGCGUCGGCCGUGAAAACCUGCAGCUUAACUGUGGGCUUGCGGUCGAUACGGGCAUCACUGGAGUUCGGCAGGGGAGACUGGAAUUCCUGGUGUAGCGGUGAAAUGCGCAGAUAUCAGGAGGAACACCGAUGGCGAAGGCAGCUCGCUGGGACGGUACUGACGCUGAGGCGCGAAAGCAUGGGGAGCGAACAGG
RNAcentral lists this ribosomal RNA (254 nucleotides) under uncultured bacterium. RNAcentral's name for it is "partial 16S ribosomal RNA". It matches the Rfam family "Bacterial small subunit ribosomal RNA", at positions 524 to 776 of the family's 1533-position model. The record is from RNAcentral.